RNAcentral lists this ribosomal RNA (1602 nucleotides) under uncultured eukaryote. RNAcentral describes it as "SSU rRNA". It matches the Rfam family "Eukaryotic small subunit ribosomal RNA", at positions 25 to 1659 of the family's 1831-position model. The record is from RNAcentral.
CAUAUGCUUGUCUCAAAGAUUAAGCCAUGCAUGUCUAAGUGCGGUGUUUUAUACACACUAGACUGCGGACGGCUCAUUACAACAGUUAUAGUUUAUUUGAUGGAUCCUAUUACGUGGAUAACCGUGGUAAUUCUAGAGCUAAUACAUGCCAAAAUCGUUGGUCUCGGGCCGACGUGCAUUUAUUAGAUACAAAUCAAUUCGUCUCUGACGAUUUUGAGGACUCAUAAUAACUCUUGCCGAUCGCAUGGCCUUGUGCCGGCGGCAUAUCAUUCAAGUUUCUGACCUAUCAGUUAGUCGGUAGUGUAUUGGACUACUGAGGCAUUGACGGGUAACGGAGAAUUAGGGUUCGGUUCCGGAGAGGGAGCCUGAGAAACGGCUACCACAUCUAAGGAAGGCAGCAGCUGCGUAAAUUACCCAAUCCUGACACAGGGAGGUAGUGACAAGAAAUCGCAAUAUUUGGCACUCAUGUGUUAAAUAAUUGUAUUGAGAACAGGCUAAACAUGUUAUCGAUAAACUAUUGGAGGGCAAGUCUGGUGCCAGCAGCCGCGGUAAUUCCAGCUCCAAUAGCGUAUACUAACGUUGUUGCAGUUAAAAAGCUCGUAGUUGGAUUUUUAAGGAUCCAUGGUCGUCGCGGCCUUUCGUGUCGUGUACGACCCCUGGGUCUCUUAUUUUGCGGCAUCUGCCGGUUGGGCUUAGUUGUUCGACCGGUCUGAAGCCGCGUGUUUACUUUGAGAAAAUUAGAGUGUUCAAAACAGUCCCUUGAUUGUAUAUCAUAGCAUGGAAUAAUAACUGAUGACUUCGGUCAAUUUUUGUUGGUUUAGUGACUGAUGUAAUGAUUGAUAGAGUUAGUCGGAGGUAUUAGUAUUUAAUCGUUAGAGGUGAAAUUCACGGAUCGAUUAAAGACUAACAACUGCGAAAGCAUUUAUCUAGGAUUUGCUCUUUGAUCAAGAACGAAAGUUGGGGGAUCGAAGACGAUCAGAUACCGUCGUAGUCUCAACUUUAAACUAUACCAGCUAGGGGUUGGCAAAUGUUAUUUAUUGACUUUGUCAGAACCUUAUGAGAAAUCAAAGCAUUUGGGUUCCGGGGGGAGUAUGGUCGCAAGGCUGAAACUUAAAGGAAUUGACGGAAGGGCACCACAAGUUGUGGAUCCUGUGGCUUAAUUUGACUCAACACGGGAAAACUUACCAGGUCCAGACAUAGUAAGGAUUGACAGAUUGAUAGCUCUUUCUUGAUUCUAUGGGUGGUGGUGCAUGGCCGUUCUAGUUGGUGGAGUGAUUUGUCUGGUUAAUUCCGUUAACGAACGAGACUAUUACCUGCUAAAUAGCCAGCCGAGCGUUAGCGCCCGGCGUGGCUUCUUAGAGGGACUAGCAUUCUUCCAAAUGCUGGAAGUUAGUAGCAAUAACAGGUCUGUGAUGCCCUUAGAUGUUCUGGGCCGCGCACGGGCUACACUGGUGGAGUAAAUAAGUACUUACCUAGGCCGACAGGCCCGGGUAAUCUUGAAACUCCAUCGUGGUUGGAAUCGCGCCUUGUAAUUCUUGCGCGUGAACGAGGAAUACCUAGUAAGCGUACAUCAUUAAUGUACAGUGAAUACGUCCCUGCCCU